Molecule: transfer RNA, 74 nt
Rfam family: tRNA
About the family: Transfer RNA (tRNA) molecules are approximately 80 nucleotides in length.
UAGAGUAUGGUGUAACUUAGGUAGCACAAAGAACUUUGAAUUCUUGGGAGUAGGUUCGAUUCCUAUGAUUCUAG